UACGGAGGGUGCAAGCGUUAAUCGGAUUUAUUGGGCGUAAAGAGCACGUAGGCGGAGUGGAAAGUUAGAUGUGAAAUCCCGAGGCUCAACUUCGGACACGCAUUUAAAACUCCCAUUCUAGAGGAUGGAAGGAGAAAAGGGAAUUCCACGUGUAGCGGUGAAAUGCGUAGAUAUGUGGAAGAACACCGGUGGCGAAGGCGCUUUUCUAUUUUAUUCCUGACGCUGAGGUGCGAAAGCAAGGGGAGCAAACAGG
This 253-nucleotide ribosomal RNA is filed under the name uncultured bacterium. RNAcentral describes it as "partial 16S ribosomal RNA". It matches the Rfam family "Bacterial small subunit ribosomal RNA", at positions 524 to 776 of the family's 1533-position model. The record is from RNAcentral.